RNAcentral lists this ribosomal RNA (378 nucleotides) under uncultured Glomeromycotina. RNAcentral's name for it is "SSU rRNA". It matches the Rfam family "Eukaryotic small subunit ribosomal RNA", at positions 694 to 1073 of the family's 1831-position model. The record is from RNAcentral. Lineage: Eukaryota; Fungi; Glomeromycota.
UCCUCCUUUCUGAAGAACUGUAAUGCCAUUAAUUUGGUGUUGCAGGGAAACAGGACUGUUACUUUGAAAAAAUUAGAGUGUUUAAAGCAGGCUAACGCUUGAAUACAUUAGCAUGGAAUAAUGAAAUAGGACGUUUGAUCCUAUUUUGUUGGUUUCUAGGAUUGACGUAAUGAUUAAUAGGGAUAGUUGGGGGCAUUAGUAUUCAAUUGUCAGAGGUGAAAUUCUUGGAUUUAUUGAAGACUGACUACUGCGAAAGCAUUUGCCAAGGAUGUUUUCAUUAAUCAAGAACGAAAGUUAGGGGAUCGAAAACAAUCAAAUACCGUCGUAGUCUUAACCAUAAACUAUGCCGACUAGGGAUCGGAUGAUGUUAAUUUUUUA